This 1224-nucleotide long non-coding RNA is filed under the name Apteryx rowi (Okarito brown kiwi). RNAcentral describes it as "lncRNA (ENSARWG00000001154.1)". The record is from RNAcentral. Lineage: Eukaryota; Metazoa; Chordata; Aves; Apterygiformes; Apterygidae.
CCCGGCUGCUCUAGUGCCGCUGCCGCGGGCGAGCCGAGGCGGCCGCUGCGGACGCGGGGAGCUUUCGGGCAGCGCCCGGGAUUACGCGGGUCGCGCGGAGGUCCGCGGCGCUCGGCGGGCGCAGCUCGCGAGGGCUUUAAAAGUUGUUAUUAUUAAUACAAUGGUGUCUAUAAUCUCUGACUUGGAUCCUCUGAAAAGCUGGAAAGUUUUAAGUUCUCCCAUUGCACUGAAACUUUACAUACAGUGGACGGAUGCAGUAGUCUGUACUUGGUUACAGAGCUACUGAGCUGUGGGUUUCUAUGUGUGCUGGCUUCCUUGAGUAAAUAAUAAUGUCUGUCGCUGAAUCUCCACUCCUUUCCCCCACCACAUGUUGCAAGAUAAUUCAUCUCCGUUAUUCAGCAGCCUGUGGCCAUCCUCAACCAGCUCAAGAAAAUAAGCUUGUCUUCCACGCAGCUAAAGGCCUCCAAAGUUUACCUUUUCCAUCUUAAGUUUUCUGUAACUUAAGCAUAAUUAUUCUCCUGCUUCAGUGCUAAUAGAAGAACAUUUAAGUCCCCUUUUCUUUUUUCAUGAUGAUACCGAUACCGCUUUGGUUUGCGCAGCCUGGCCGCCACGGCUAUCUACAGCGUAYGUUGUAAAUGCCAGGUGUCAUGACUCUGUCCAGUGUCCCAAGGGCUGGGAAACUGCCUUGAAAGUUGUCAAAGCAGCCAAAGCCUUGCUCCUCGGACACGAUCUGUCACUAAAAAAAUCCUUUCAGCCAGAAGUUGCCUCUAGUAGCAAACUCACUACCUCUAUCUGACCAAUUUCUAUCAGUAGGAUGYGAGAAGAAGAACGUACAACACUGGGGAAAAUUACUUGCUGGUAAUUUUGUUGUUGCUGUUGUUCUCCUGUUCUUCACCCAGACUACUUUCCCUCUUUCUCGCCCAUCCGGGAUGUUGCUUGACAGAUGUUUCCUCCUUAUCUCGCUCUUUCUUUAUUGCUCUGCCAGGAGUAUCUGACUGCUAGCAAGCGGGCAGGCUAGUCCUUACAAUACCAGCUUUGGCUGAUAACUCUUUUGCCACCUUUUCGAAGAGUCUUUGCUCUGUUUUGACUGUUUUCUAACAGAUGGGCAAGAAAAAGAAAGUAGCAUAAAUUGCCUUGCAGUAAUUAUUGCUAUUCUUAUUUUACAUGGGGUUUUAUUAAAGCCUGAACUCUCCUGUCUGUAUGAUCUGAAUAAAUUUGAGCAAA